CCUUGUUUCCACAGGUCUCCAAUACUGUGGUGUUAUCGCAGCUUAUCGGGCUUUUUCGUCCCAUAUCGUUGGCAGCAGUUUGCGGGUCAGUUUGGUGCCGGGUUCGAUGGGGUGGGUCUUUAUUAACAGGCCCGAAGUGUUUGUUUGCUGUGGAGCUCUUGUGGCGUGCAGCCAUUCAGGUUGGUUGCUUGGCUCCGCCCCCGACAAAUUUUUUUUAAAGAGGAUUAGCACCUGUACACUCGAGAAAAUGGAAGAGGUGGAUAGGGGUUCAGGUGGUCAC
Pelobates cultripes (western spadefoot toad) is the source of this 280-nucleotide non-coding RNA. NCBI's taxonomy places the organism in Eukaryota, Metazoa, Chordata, Amphibia, Anura, Pelobatidae. The record is from the annotation of a GenBank genome assembly.